AAAAGGUCUUUCACUUCUGUUUUCUUGCCUCUUGAGUGUCUUGUUGCAGGACUAGGAAAGCAUCACCAUAAUAAUGCCUUGCUAUAGGGAAACUCUUCUCUAGUGAUUUAAGUUGUUCCUGGGCAUUUGUGGAAUCUAGAUAUCCUUACAUAAAUCAGGAUGUGAUCUUUGAGUAAAAUAAAUAAAUCUAUGGGGGAAAGGGGAGGUGGGGAAGUGGAAGGAAGUAGUGACUAAUAUGUUUAUAUUUUGGGGAUCAUUAUAAUAAGUGUAAUGUAAUUAUUCCAGUUUUACAGAUGGAGGAACUGAGGCUAAGAAAACUACAUGUCUUGUGAGGUGACAUAAGUGUUUAGUGACAGAAUUGCUCUUUCCUGCUCCUAUCUAAAGAGUUCCUCAAUGUGCAUCUCCCUGCGUUCUGAAUUAACUCCAGUUUCGCGGAACGGACGAACAAGUGUCUGCCUUGAGUCCGCUGCGGAGCUGGUGUGCUGGCUUCUCGACACCUCUUGCAUGAAUCACUGCCUCUGCCCUUUUUUUUCCAUUUGCCAUUUCUGGUCGUUUUUCCCUGUUCUGUCGAAUCCCAAGUGCCCCUGAAUGCAGCCCAUUGGUUUUGGGAUGUGGAGAGCCAUAUGUGCAGCCCCACUUCUCUAAGGUAAGUUGCUGUACCAAGGUUAAAGCGUACAGCACCCAUGUGGCAAAGAGCUUCUGUAGCCACAGCUUUAGGUGGCACUUGAGUACAUUAGGAAGCAGGAAGGCCUGUGAGCUACAAAGGGCUCUGUCUGCGAGGAUGAUGCCGUGAUGUCUGGCAGCGUUCACCAGCCAUGCAGUGAGGUCACUUCUAAAAGUAUCGCGUUGCAGCGCCGAGCUUCCUGGCGUGAUGGCAGGCAGCUCUCGUGAACCUCGGCCGCUCCUCAGCAGCCAUGGUUAUUCUUAGAGACACUUCCCAUUCCUCAGGAAAAGCUACUGUGAGAGGCUUAGCUGGCUUUUAUCUUUAGAAGCGAGUAUUUAAAUGUUGGACUAAUUUGUAGCUCAUUCGCAGCUCAGCUGCAGCCCUGCCAGCUGCGCUGGGAUCAGUGACAAGUCUUUCUUCCGCCUCCAAAGCGCACUUGCAGACAGAUCCAGGGCCUAGGAGCACAUUGCCCCAGAGGCAACUCGGCUUUCUCACAAGCGUGUAGCUGCCUGGGGGAGUUUUCCAGAACAAGUAGCAUAUUAGGCUUUCCCUAGCAAAGAGAGACCUUACAUGCGCACAGAAACCUCGCUGGCUUCACGAGCGUUGGGCUGGCAUUGCUGGGCUCUGCUCUGCUUUGGAUGGAGGUGGAGAAGGGCCAGUGGCUGCUACGUUAAAUAUUGCUCCGGAGUAGCAACCAGACUGUGCAGUACAGAGAGAGGCAUCAGUGCCCACCCAAGUGGCAGAAGGGGGUGAGAGGAAAAGCCUCCAUCCCCUCCGGGGAUGUUGGUUCAGAGUGGUAGGAGCAAGCUACAUUUAACCAAAGCAUCCUCCCUCUUGGCUGGGUGGCCACCCGUGACCCAGAGACAGCAUUCCUGCAGGAAGCUAGCAGGACAUCUGAAUUAGAGACAGGCUGUGUUGGACCACAAGGAAUAAAAGUUCCUUUUUGGGUGGAGAUCGGAAAAUU
RNAcentral lists this long non-coding RNA (1628 nucleotides) under Anas platyrhynchos platyrhynchos (common mallard). RNAcentral's name for it is "lncRNA (ENSAPLG00000025767.1)". Lineage: Eukaryota; Metazoa; Chordata; Aves; Anseriformes; Anatidae. The record is from RNAcentral.